Molecule: ribosomal RNA, 253 nt
Filed under: uncultured bacterium
Lineage: Bacteria
Description: partial 16S ribosomal RNA
Rfam family: Archaeal small subunit ribosomal RNA
Source: RNAcentral
UACCAGCACCCCGAGUGGUCGGGACGUUUAUUGGGCCUAAAGCAUCCGUAGCCGGUUCUACAAGUCUUCCGUUAAAUCCACCUGCUUAACAGAUGGGCUGCGGAAGAUACUAUGGAGCUAGGUGGCGGGAGAGGCAAGCGGUACUCGAUGGGUAGGGGUAAAAUCCGUUGAUCCAUUGAAGACCACCAGUGGCGAAGGCGGCUUGCCAGAACGCGCUCGACGGUGAGGGAUGAAAGCUGGGGGAGCAAACCGG